UGCGUAGGCGGGAUUGCAAGUCAGAUGUGAAAUACCGAGGCUUAACUUCGGGGCUGCAUUUGAAACUACAGUUCUUGAGUGAUGGAGAGGUAAGCGGAAUUUCCAGUGUAGCGGUGAAAUGCGUAGAUAUUGGAAGGAACACCAGUGGCGAAGGCGGCUUACUGGACAUUAACUGACGCUGAAGCACGAAAGCGUGGGGAGCAAACAG
RNAcentral lists this ribosomal RNA (208 nucleotides) under uncultured bacterium. RNAcentral describes it as "partial 16S ribosomal RNA". It matches the Rfam family "Bacterial small subunit ribosomal RNA", at positions 568 to 775 of the family's 1533-position model. The record is from RNAcentral.